UACGGAGGGUGCGAGCGUUAAUCGGAAUAACUGGGCGUAAAGGGCACGCAGGCGGGCUUUUAAGUGAGAUGUGAAAUCCCCGGGCUUAACCCGGGAAUUGCAUCUGAUACUGGUCAGCUAGAGUCUUGUAGAGGGGGGUAGAAUUCCAUGUGUAGCGGUGAAAUGCGUAGAGAUGUGGAGGAAUACCGAAGGCGAAGGCAGCCCCUUGGGAAUGUACUGACGCUCAUGUGCGAAAGCGUGGGGAGCAAACAGG
RNAcentral lists this ribosomal RNA (253 nucleotides) under uncultured bacterium. RNAcentral's name for it is "partial 16S ribosomal RNA". It matches the Rfam family "Bacterial small subunit ribosomal RNA", at positions 524 to 776 of the family's 1533-position model. The record is from RNAcentral.